CGUAAUAACAGAAACUAACCAGGAUUCCCUUAGUAACGGCGAGUGAACUGGGAUACCAAUAUAUUUAUGCGUCUCUGGCGCAUAUUUUUAGCCCGUCGAUACUAUCCUAGCGUAUUACCGGUUUCGGCCGGUAGCCCAAUACGCGGGAAUUGUAGCAUCGUAAUAAAAUAUACACCAUGCCUGCGUCGCAAACGUAUAUACACGUAUACUCACACACACACACAUACUCUCGUACGCGUACACACCCCUUGCAAACACACAGCGCUCCCGCGUUGGAAAGCAAGUCUAUAUCCUCUUUGGAUAUGCCAUAGAGUGUGACAGCCACGUUUGAAACACCCUACGUACCGUACACACACAUACGUAAAAAUACGCGCUGCUUCGCAUACGCAUACCGUAUAUAACCUGAGUCGAGUUAUUU
Molecule: ribosomal RNA, 418 nt
Filed under: Ammonia sp.
Lineage: Eukaryota; Foraminifera; Rotaliida; Rotaliidae
Description: partial LSU ribosomal RNA
Source: RNAcentral